Molecule: long non-coding RNA, 180 nt
Organism: Lotus japonicus
Lineage: Eukaryota; Viridiplantae; Streptophyta; Magnoliopsida; Fabales; Fabaceae
Exons: 3
Source: RefSeq, a predicted model, not a curated record
UGCUUGUGUGAAAAGAGUUGCAGAAUUGAAGAAAGGGUUUCAUAAUGCAAAAGCUGCUUCCUAAUGGGAAAAUCAGAGUUAGAGCUUGGAGCAGACAUUGAAAUAUUUACAGGUCAUAAAGAUUAGAGAAAUUGUUGGCUUGAAGUUAAAAAGGAGAAGAAAAAAACUAGAUUUUGUGGU